AAGACGUGCGCAGGCGGUUAUGUAAGACAGAUGUGAAAUCCCCGGGCUCAACCUGGGAACUGCAUUUGUGACUGCAUGGCUAGAGUACGGUAGAGGGGGAUGGAAUUCCGCGUGUAGCAGUGAAAUGCGUAGAUAUGCGGAGGAACACCGAUGGCGAAGGCAAUCCCCUGGACCUGUACUGACGCUCAUGCACGAAAGCGUGGGGAGCAAACAGGAUUAGAUACCCCUGU
RNAcentral lists this ribosomal RNA (230 nucleotides) under uncultured bacterium. RNAcentral describes it as "partial 16S ribosomal RNA". It matches the Rfam family "Bacterial small subunit ribosomal RNA", at positions 567 to 791 of the family's 1533-position model. The record is from RNAcentral.